This 253-nucleotide ribosomal RNA is filed under the name uncultured bacterium. RNAcentral describes it as "partial 16S ribosomal RNA". It matches the Rfam family "Bacterial small subunit ribosomal RNA", at positions 524 to 776 of the family's 1533-position model. The record is from RNAcentral.
UACGUAGGUGGCAAGCGUUGUCCGGAUUUACUGGGCGUAAAGAGCGCGCAGGCGGUCGUUCAAGUCGUGUGUGAAAGCCCCCGGCUCAACUGGGGAGGGUCACGCGAUACUGAUCGACUCGAAGGCAGGAGAGGGUAGUGGAAUUCCCGGUGUAGUGGUGAAAUGCGUAGAUAUUGGGAGGAACACCAGUGGCGAAGGCGACUACCUGGCCUGUUAUUGACGCUGAGGCGCGAAAGCUAGGGGAGCAAACGGG